Long non-coding RNA from Melanotaenia boesemani (Boeseman's rainbowfish), 103 nucleotides. RefSeq lists it as uncharacterized. Lineage: Eukaryota; Metazoa; Chordata; Actinopteri; Atheriniformes; Melanotaeniidae. The record is from RefSeq and is a predicted model, not a curated record. The transcript has 3 exons.
UUAACCAUUCAUAAAACCAUGUUUGUGAUCUGAAUCACCCCCAAAAUAUAAUCACUUGUUUCUUCUUCCAUUUCUAAAAUUUCCUGAAAAUUUAAUCAAAAUC